AUCCAGCUGACGAGUCCCAAGUAGGACGAAACGCGAUCCUGUAU
This 44-nucleotide non-coding RNA is filed under the name Schistosoma margrebowiei. The record is from RNAcentral. Lineage: Eukaryota; Metazoa; Platyhelminthes; Trematoda; Strigeidida; Schistosomatidae.